UUUCCGUAGGUGAACCUGCGGAAGGAUCAUUAAAAAUAGGACUUCCAAUGGGAGUUCAUUAAUAAUCCUACCCUUUGUGAAUUUGUUUGUUUGAAAUAAUUUUUUUUCCAAAAAAAUUAUUGAAUGUCUUUCCCUGUUUUUGGUUGAAGCGUAAAAGUGGAGACCAAGCAGGGGAAUGGCGAACAUUAAUUUUUUUGAAAAAAGACCUUUUUUUAAAAUUAAACUUUUUGUAUUCAUUUGUCUAAAAUUAUUUUUAUAAUAUAAAAACAACUUUUGACAAUGGAUCUCUUGGUUCUCGCAACGAUGAAGAACGCAGCAAAAUGCGAUAAGUAGUGUGAAUUGCAGAAUACGUGAAUCAUCGAAUCUUCGAACGCAUAUUGCACUUUUUAGUUUACUAAAAAGUAUGUCUGUUUGAGUAUCAGUAAAAUAUUCUCAUAAAAAACUUUUUUUGUUUUUUAUGGUUAUGAGUGUUUUACAACGAUAAACAAGUUGUUUCACUUUAAAUUCUUUGAAAUUUAAAAAAUCGUUAAAACUAAUUUUAAAUGAUUUUUAAAAUUGGAUAAAAUUUUCCCGUAAAAAAGGAAUAACCUAAACAAUUUUAAAAAAUUUAAAAUUGGUUGAUUUUUUUAACCCAAAAGGAAAAAAGUAAAAAUUAACUUGAUCUCAAUCAGAUAAGAGUACCCGCUGAACUUAAGCAUAUCAAUAAGCGGAGGAAAAGAAACUAACUAGGAUUCCCUCAGUAACGGCGAGUGAAGCGGGAAGAGCUCAAAUUUGAAAUCUUCAAGGUUCUACCUUGACGAAUUGUAGUUUAAAGAAGUGUUUUCUGUUGGAAUAGUUUGGUAUAAGUUCUUUGGAAUAGGACAUCAUGGAGGGUGAGAAUCCCGUAACGACCAUUUAUUCCAGCUCUGUGAUACACUUUCAAAGAGUCGGAUUGUUUGGGAAUGCAGUCCAAAAUGGGUGGUAAAUUUCAUCUAAAGCUAAAUAUUGGCGAGAGACCGAUAGCGAACAAGUACCGUGAGGGAAAGAUGAAAAGAACUUUGAAAAGAGAGUUAAACAGUACGUGAAAUUGUCAAAAGGGAAGCGUUUGACACCAGUGUUGUUUUCUCGAAAAUCAAUUAAAAAUGGCUUGAUUUUGUGUAAGGCGACCUUAUCAGCGUUUUGCACUCUUUUCUUGUCCUUUUUUAAUGCACUUUUCGUUUAACAAGUCAACAUCAAUUUCUUUUGUUGUAAAAGAGUCAUUGGAAGGUGGCUUUCUUUUCGGAGAAAGUGUUUAUAGCCUUUGGCUUCUGCAAUCGGAGAGAUUGAGGUCUGCAGCGUAGAUCCUUCGGGGUUAGAUGCAUUAGUGCUAAGUUAUAGCCUUUCAUAGACAACUUGUUGACUAUGAUCAGUCAUGUAGCUUACUCGCUGAUGUUAUUUUACCUACGCUUAGGAUGUUG
RNAcentral lists this unclassified non-coding RNA (1436 nucleotides) under uncultured Neocallimastigales. RNAcentral describes it as "partial contains small subunit ribosomal RNA, internal transcribed spacer 1, 5.8S ribosomal RNA, internal transcribed spacer 2, and large subunit ribosomal RNA". The stretch from base 659 to 1436 matches the Rfam family "Eukaryotic large subunit ribosomal RNA", at positions 1 to 628 of the family's 3401-position model. The record is from RNAcentral. Lineage: Eukaryota; Fungi; Neocallimastigomycota; Neocallimastigomycetes; Neocallimastigales.